RNAcentral lists this unclassified non-coding RNA (337 nucleotides) under soil metagenome. RNAcentral's name for it is "partial contains 5.8S ribosomal RNA, internal transcribed spacer 2, and large subunit ribosomal RNA". The stretch from base 1 to 120 matches the Rfam family "5.8S ribosomal RNA", at positions 35 to 154 of the family's 154-position model. The record is from RNAcentral.
GAUGAAGAACGUAGCGAAAUGCGAUAAGUAGUGUGAAUUGCAGAAUUCAGUGAAUCAUCGAAUCUUUGAACGCACAUUGCACCCCUUGGUAUUCCAUGGGGCAUGCCUGUUCGAGCGUCAUUUGUACCUUCAAGCUCUGCUUGGUGUUGGGUGUUUGUCUCGCCUCUGCGUGUAGACUCGCCUCAAAACAAUUGGCAGCCGGCGUAUUGAUUUCGGAGCGCAGUACAUCUCGCGCUUUGCACUCAUAACGACGACGUCCAAAAGUACAUUUUUACACUCUUGACCUCGGAUCAGGUAGGGAUACCCGCUGAACUUAAGCAUAUCAAUAAGCGGAGGA